AGGUGAAGCGGGGCUUCGGCCCCGUGGAAACUGGCGCACGGGUGAGUAACGCGUGGGAAUCUACCCCGGGGUGGGGAAUAACCGCUGGAAACGGCGGCUAAUACCGCAUACGCCUUGCGAGGGAAAGCUUUAGCGCCCUGGGACGAGCCCGCGUCGGAUUAGCUUGUUGGUGAGGUAACGGCUCACCAAGGCUUCGAUCCGUAGCUGGUCUGAGAGGAUGAUCAGCCACACUGGGACUGAGACACGGCCCAGACUCCUACGGGAGGCAGCAGUGGGGAAUAUUGGACAAUGGGGGCAACCCUGAUCCAGCCAUGCCGCGUGCGUGAAGAAGGCCUUAGGGUUGUAAAGCGCUUUCGGCGGGGAAGAUGAUGACGGUACCCGCAGAAGAAGCUCCGGCUAACUCCGUGCCAGCAGCCGCGGUAAUACGGAGGGGGCUAGCGUUGUUCGGAAUUACUGGGCGUAAAGGGCGCGUAGGCGGAUUGUCAAGUCAGAGGUGAAAGCCCUGGGCUCAACCUGGGAACUGCCUUUGAAACUAACGGUCUAGAGUCCGAGAGAGGAUGGCGG
Molecule: ribosomal RNA, 564 nt
Filed under: uncultured bacterium
Lineage: Bacteria
Description: bacterial SSU rRNA
Rfam family: Bacterial small subunit ribosomal RNA
Source: RNAcentral